RNAcentral lists this ribosomal RNA (1300 nucleotides) under metagenome. RNAcentral describes it as "bacterial SSU rRNA". It matches the Rfam family "Bacterial small subunit ribosomal RNA", at positions 202 to 1497 of the family's 1533-position model. The record is from RNAcentral.
CAAGGCCUUGCGCUCUUUGAGCGGCCGAUGUCAGAUUAGCUAGUUGGUGAGGUAAAGGCUUACCAAGGCGACGAUCUGUAGCGGGUCUGAGAGGAUGAUCCGCCACACUGGAACUGAGACACGGUCCAGACUCCUACGGGAGGCAGCAGUGGGGAAUUUUGGACAAUGGGGGCAACCCUGAUCCAGCCAUGCCGCGUGAGUGAAGAAGGCCUUCGGGUUGUAAAGCUCUUUCGGCCGGGAAGAAAUCGCAUGGGCCAAUACCCUGUGUGGAUGACGGUACCGGAAUAAGAAGCACCGGCUAACUACGUGCCAGCAGCCGCGGUAAUACGUAGGGUGCGAGCGUUAAUCGGAAUUACUGGGCGUAAAGCGUGCGCAGGCGGUUUUGUAAGACAGGCGUGAAAUCCCCGGGCUUAACCUGGGAACUGCGUUUGUGACUGCAAGGCUAGAGUACGGCAGAGGGGGGUGGAAUUCCACGUGUAGCAGUGAAAUGCGUAGGGAUGUGGAGGAACACCAAUGGCGAAGGCAGCCCCCUGGGUCGAUACUGACGCUCAUGCACGAAAGCGUGGGUAGCAGACAGGAUUAGAUACCCUGGUAGUCCACGCCCUAAACUAUGUCAACUAGGUGUUGGGUGGGUAAAACCAUUUAGUACCGUAGCUAACGCGUGAAGUUGACCGCCUGGGGAGUACGGCCGCAAGGUUAAAACUCAAAGGAAUUGACGGGGACCCGCACAAGCGGUGGAUGAUGUGGAUUAAUUCGAUGCAACGCGAAAAACCUUACCUACCCUUGACAUGCCAGGAACUUGCCAGAGAUGGCUUGGUGCCCGAAAGGGAGCCUGGACACAGGUGCUGCAUGGCUGUCGUCAGCUCGUGUCGUGAGAUGUUGGGUUAAGUCCCGCAACGAGCGCAACCCUUGUCGUUAAUUGCCAUCAUUUAGUUGGGCACUUUAACGAGACUGCCGGUGACAAACCGGAGGAAGGUGGGGAUGACGUCAAGUCCUCAUGGCCCUUAUGGGUAGGGCUUCACACGUCAUACAAUGGUCGGUACAAAGGGUUGCCAAGCCGCGAGGCGGAGCCAAUCCCAGAAAGCCGAUCGUAGUCCGGAUUGCAGGCUGCGACUCGCCUGCAUGAAGUCGGAAUCGCUAGUAAUCGUGGAUCAGCAUGUCACGGUGAAUACGUUCCCGGGUCUUGUACACACCGCCCGUCACACCAUGGGAGCGGGUUCCGCCAGAAGUAGGUAGCCUAACCGCAAGGGGGGCGCUUACCACGGCGGGGUUCGUGACUGGGGUGAAGUCGUAACAAGGU